Molecule: ribosomal RNA, 253 nt
Filed under: uncultured bacterium
Lineage: Bacteria
Description: partial 16S ribosomal RNA
Rfam family: Bacterial small subunit ribosomal RNA
Source: RNAcentral
UACGUAGGGUGCGAGCGUUGUCCGGAAUUAUUGGGCGUAAAGGGCUCGUAGGCGGUUUGUCGCGUCGGGAGUGAAAAUCCAGGGCUUAACUCUGGACUGGCUUCCGAUACGGGCAGACUAGAGGUAUGCAGGGGAGAACGGAAUUCCUGGUGUAGCGGUGAAAUGCGCAGAUAUCAGGAGGAACACCGGUGGCGAAGGCGGUUCUCUGGGCAGUACCUGACGCUGAGGAGCGAAAGUGUGGGGAGCGAACAGG